GCAAGUGGGCUGGGAAACGGGGUGUGUAGGGGGUCCAUUGUGGAGUGAUGAGUGUGACCCGUUACGAGAUUAUGAGCUACCAAUCACCAAACCCAAACAAACCACGAUAAACCAUCCAUCCAUGGCCUCUCUUCUUCUUAGACAGGCUCUGCUGCUCCGCGUUUGCUUCCAUAACUACCAACGCUUCGCCGCCGGAGCCGUCGCCGCGCGUCACCGCCUAUGGUGCAGCGCCGCCGCCAACUCUCCCUCCGACAAGGCGGACGACAAAACUAGCUCCGCCAGCAUCGGCAAUGCACGGAAAGCUCUUUUCCCGCCAAGCCAGCCGCGGUGGGAGGACGAGCCCGAUUAUCGGAAAUGGAAGGACACCGAGGAAGCGAUUCUCAAGGACAUUGAACCCACCGUUUUGCUCGCCAAGGAUAUUCUCCACUCACGAAGGUAUAUGGAUGGAGCGCGAUUGAGUGCGGAGGACGAGAAAGUUGUUGUUCAGAAGCUCCUUGCUUACCAUCCACACUCUGAAGAUAAGAUUGGAUGCGGACUUGAAUCCAUUAUGGUUGACCGUCAUCCCCAAUAUCGACAAUCAAGGUGUCUUUUUGUUGUUAGAACUGAUGGCGGCUGGAUCGAUUUCUCCUAUCAGAAGUGCCUUCGGGAAUACAUUAGAGAUAAGUACCCUACUUAUGCGGAAAGGUUUAUUCGACAACAUUUUAAGCGUGGGAGGAUGUAUAUAUAAUGGAAUUUGUUUACUUUGGUGUGCUGACUACUUUUUACAUCUGCUUUCCCCAUUAUUGAUCAGUGGCCUUACCUACAUUGUCAAUGGCAGUGGAUAAUUAUUGACUGAGAUAUCGAGCUUAUAAUGAAAGGAACACAGAAAAUUAUUGAAGUGAGCUUCACUUUGUUGACUUCUAGAUCCCUUUUUUGGUGAUACAAAUUGGUGGUUAGGUAACUGGUUUCAGUAAGGAAUGGAAUUUAGUUGUUUACUUUAACCACCUCUGCUAUAAUAUUAUAAGAUAUUAACUAGAAUUCAAGCAUUUUCUUUUUAAUAUUGCAUGGUCUUUUCUGUUCAGCAUUGCAUUUUUAAACCCUUAAUUAUUGGAUGAUGCUUUUACCCGAAUGUGGAUUCAUUCCCAAAGAUUCAGAGAACCACCAUAACGUUUGCUGAAGGGUCCUCCUGGUGGCAAAUGCAACUUUGGACGAUGUAAAAAGCACCCGUAUCUGUGAAUUUCUGUAAAAUGAGGGGGAAGCUUAGGAUUGUACAACUGUUCCCAUUCUGGAUUAUGUAUAUUGCUUUAGGUGUCCUAUUUCCAGCUAUAUUAGUCACGGGCCAUUCAGGAGUGGUUGAUCGGACAUGUACGGGUCAAAACUCAAUAAGGGUCAAGCUCAGCUAGGUUUAGUAGGACUCUGCACAAGUCAAAACGGAGAGAAACUAUGUCUGGCCUACUUUUAGAUUUUUAGCUGAAUAUGUUUCUAAAGUCCAAGGCAAUCAUCUUUCUUUAUGUUAGUUUUGAUAAUAAGUCAUACACUCGAAGAAAUUCCGUUAUAGCA
Molecule: non-coding RNA, 1539 nt
Organism: Cajanus cajan (pigeon pea)
Lineage: Eukaryota; Viridiplantae; Streptophyta; Magnoliopsida; Fabales; Fabaceae
Source: RefSeq, a predicted model, not a curated record